CCUACGGGAGGCAGCAGUGAGGAAUAUUGGUCAAUGGACGAGAGUCUGAACCAGCCAAGUAGCGUGAAGGAUGACUGCCCUAUGGGUGGUAAACUUCUUUUAUAAAGGAAUAAAACGAGGCACGUGUGCCUUUUUGCAUGUACUUUAUGAAUAAAGAUCGGCUAAGUCAGUGCCAGCAGCCGCGGUAAUACGGAGGAGACGAGCGUUAGGCGGAUUUGUUGGGUUUAAAGGGAGCGUAGAUGGGGUGUUAAGUCAGUUGUGAAAGUUUGCGGCUCAACCGUAAAAUUGCAAUUGAUACUGGCAGUCUUGAGUACCGUUGAGGUGGGCAGAAUUCGUGGUGUAGCGGUGAAUUGCUUAGAUAUCACGAAGAACCCCGAUUGCGAAGGCGGCUUACUAAACUGAGACUGACAUUGAUGUUCGAAAGUGUGGGUAUCAAACAGGAUUAGAUACCCCUGUAGUC
Molecule: ribosomal RNA, 460 nt
Filed under: uncultured bacterium
Lineage: Bacteria
Description: partial 16S ribosomal RNA
Rfam family: Bacterial small subunit ribosomal RNA
Source: RNAcentral